Daphnia magna is the source of this 1038-nucleotide long non-coding RNA. RefSeq lists it as uncharacterized. The transcript is spliced from 6 exons. The record is from RefSeq and is a predicted model, not a curated record. Lineage: Eukaryota; Metazoa; Arthropoda; Branchiopoda; Diplostraca; Daphniidae.
UGUUAUGCCAAGUCAUCAAGCCCUUUCUCUCUAGGCCAGCAGCAUUUUUCCCCCAGAGGCACUGCCACGCUGAAACUAUAAACUUAUAAAAUCAAGAAAAGAAGGGAACGAAUUCGCGUUUUUUCGCUUCUCCCGAUUCAAUCAACUGGUCCAGUUUCUCGAUGCUGUAUGUUGGCUCUUUGACGAAUGGCUGAUACAUGCUAUAAGGUUGUUGUCGAGCAAUUCGGCCCAAAAAGCUACAAUGGACACAACAGUAACUUCCGGAGUACGCCGGACAACGACAUUUUCCCGAAAAUGUUGUGGCUCUACCCAACUCGAUCUUUUCAUCUAGCAACAGGUUGUGGCUUCAGUUCAGACCAUCCCUAUUGCCACAGAGAGGUUACGAUCUUACCUUUACCUCCACUCAACAAGGUUCUGGAUGCGGAGGAGCUGUGUUUAACACCCGAGGUUCUGUAACGAGCCCCGGUUUCCCUGGCAACGUUUCUCGUGCUACCGACUGCCGAUGGGAGUUAUCUGUUCCAAUUGGAAUGAUUAUCAAAAUCGAUUUUCCCAUGUUCCAAUUCGGACCAUCUGAUGACUGCAUGAAUAAUUACGUGGAAAUAUCAGAUAUUCGUGCAAGUCCAGACGGGACAUUAGGAGAGGCUUGGAGAGCGCGCUACUGUGGAAACGAUCGGCCAUCGACUUAUGUGGGCUCUAGCAAUGGAGCUACUAUUCGUUACGUCACCUCAACGAAUAACACCGGAUCAGGAUGGAGAGCUGUCUUCCAGGGCGUCACCAGUAUCCAUGGAAACCAAUAACAAUUGCAACUCUCCCACAUCAUUGAUAACGCAACCAUACAAAGUUUCCCCUUUUUUUUUUGUUUUUUUUUACUUAAUCCAUUUUUAAAAAUUUUAAAUGCAAAACACGUGGGGGACUCUUUGUUUCCUCUCUUUUUCGUUUUUUUUUUAAAGAUUAUUAAUCACAAUAGGUAUGGGUUUGUUUGUUAUGUAUCCAUAACUUGUUAUUCCAUUUUCAAUACGAGACAAUAUUGACAAUUGA